RNAcentral lists this long non-coding RNA (1602 nucleotides) under Malus domestica (apple). RNAcentral's name for it is "long non-coding RNA (MDOM_LNC001079)". The record is from RNAcentral. Lineage: Eukaryota; Viridiplantae; Streptophyta; Magnoliopsida; Rosales; Rosaceae.
AAGUGGUCCGCCCCGGGCCGGGAUGUGACAUGGGUACAUUCUUCAAAACCACACAAAAACUAAUCGAUAUUAGGCUUAAUAAAAUUAGUAAAUUUCUUUGAUUAAAUUUGACAUGGAAACAUUCUCAAAUCAAGAAAAAAAAAUGUACCCAUAUGAGUUUAAAAAUGGAUUAGAAAAAAAAUGAAUAGAUUUUAUAUAAAAAAAGGUACAUUUUACUACAACAAAUUGGUAUAUUUAAGAAUUGGUACAUUUUAAGAUUAAAAAUUUGAAAAAUCACAUGAAUGGGUGCAUAUAAGAUUAAAAAAUUGGAAAGCUUUUUAUAAAAAAUUAAGGGGUACAAACUUAUUCUAAUUUUUUUUUUAUUUUGGAAAUGUUUUGAAUUGAAAAUUAGUUAGGAGUUUAAUAAAGGUGUGAGUAUUGAAAUCCUAAAUCAAUUAUUAAUUUUUAUUUAAAAAAUUAUGUAACUGACAUGUAAAUUCAUUAUUGCAUUAAUGUUAGGGACUUUAAUCAAAAUCUGAAAACUAAUAAGGUUUCAAUCAAAUAACAUUAGUAACUAAGGACCGGAUACUAAUUUUUCUUUUUCUUUUUGGAAGCUAUCAUGGUGUAGAUGAGUGAUAAACGUCGACGAUAAAUCAGUAACAUGUCAAAAACAAAUACGUAAAUACAGUUGCAAACGUGACCUGAAAAGAGAAUCUCACUGUGCUUAUUCACAUCCUCUUUUGCUUAGUCUAGGUUUACCUUCAAUCUGUCAUCAUCGUAGAAGAGCUUUUCUAAUUUAGGUGGUUACGUCCUUCCAAGGUGCUGCUGCAUUCUCAUAGUCUGUAAGUGAUUGAUACAGAUUGGUACUGACAAUUGGCCAUGAUCCAUGGUCCUUUUGUCUACAAUUACAACUACUGGUAGCUAACCCUAAUGGAUAUCUUAAUUUAGAACGCGGAAUGAAAUGAAGGGCUUUGAUCUUCUGGAUUGGACAAUUGCAUGUGACCUAAAAUUGACCAUUGAUGGUAGACUUAAACCAACAAGUUUCUAAGGGACUACGUGCCAUCAUAGACAACCAUAUAACUUGGUACUUGCAUAUAAUCUAUCAUGGUUUGGUGCUUAAAAUUAGAUUAUAUCGCACAACUCACUAGAUUUGGUGCAAGUUGAAUGAAGAAAUAAAAAAAAUAUUGUACAAGUCAAAGAUAAAAGAUUCAUAACAAAAACUUACCCAUUUCAAUUCCUAUAAAAUAAUAAAGCAUCAACAUAUUUUACAACUUAUCUUUUAUACUCUCCAUACGAUAAAAAGUUCGUCACCUCCACCAGUAUUUAGUUUAUGAGUUAUUUAAUCGAAUCUUCUACACCAAACGAAUUAAAAAGUUGUUAGAUUCAGUGAUUUUCUUGAAAUAUUAAUUAAUUAGAAUUGUAGUUGAGAAAAUAGGAGAGGCUGACCGCACGGCAGAGACUAGACUGGAGGCCAACGAAAGUUUAUCACACAUGCCACAAUUGUAGGUUAGUGGAAUAUAAUUAAUUAAGAAAGAAAACAACAAAUCAUUGGAUUUUGAUGAUGGAUAAUGAAAGGGGUCCUACACAUCUCCAGCAGCUCCUUAGAGAUUUUUUAAUGUGAUC